CGCUGGCGGCGCGCCUAAUACAUGCAAGUCGAGCGAGAAGGUGUAGCAAUACACUUGUAAAGCGGCGAACGGGUGAGGAAUACAUGGGUAAUCUACCAUCGAGUGGGGAAUAACCAGCCGAAAGGUUGGCUAAUACCGCGUACGCUUCCGAGUCUUCGGGCUUGGAAGGAAAGCCGCACUGUGAGUGCGGCGCUCUUUGAUGAGCUCAUGUCCUAUCAGCUUGUUGGUAGGGUAACGGCCUACCAAGGCUUUGACGGGUAGCUGGUCUGAGAGGACGAUCAGCCACACUGGCACUGCGACACGGGCCAGACUCCUACGGGAGGCAGCAGUAAGGAAUAUUGCGCAAUGGGCGAAAGCCUGACGCAGCGACGCCGCGUGGGGGAUGAAGGUCUUCGGAUUGUAAACCCCUUUCGGGAGGGAAGAUGGAGCGAGCAAUCGUUCGGACGGUACCUCCAGAAGCAGCCACGGCCAACUUCGUG
RNAcentral lists this ribosomal RNA (479 nucleotides) under uncultured bacterium. RNAcentral describes it as "bacterial SSU rRNA". It matches the Rfam family "Bacterial small subunit ribosomal RNA", at positions 34 to 507 of the family's 1533-position model. The record is from RNAcentral.